GGAUAGCUCAGUUGGUAGAGCAGCGGACUUUUAAUCCGUUGGUCCCGCGUUCGAGUCGCGGACGACCCACCA
Molecule: transfer RNA, 72 nt
Filed under: Acinetobacter radioresistens
Lineage: Bacteria; Pseudomonadati; Pseudomonadota; Gammaproteobacteria; Moraxellales; Moraxellaceae
Description: tRNA-Lys
Rfam family: tRNA (bases 4-61)
About the family: Transfer RNA (tRNA) molecules are approximately 80 nucleotides in length. Their secondary structure includes four short double-helical elements and three loops (D, anti-codon, and T loops).
Source: RNAcentral